UUUCCGUAGGUGAACCUGCGGAAGGAUCAUUAACGAGCCAGCCCGUGAUGUUGCGGGUCAACCGCCUCUCACGGGCUACCGCCCCAACCGUGCCUACCUUUACCUGUUGCCUCGGCGGACCGCACCGUCCGCGGUGCGGCCGGCCAACACGGCCGGCCAGCGUCCGCCAGAGGAAACCAAAACCUCGACCUUCAUGUGAACGUCUGAGUAACUACUGCAAAUAGUUUAAAACUUUCAACAACGGAUCUCUUGGUUCCA
Molecule: unclassified non-coding RNA, 258 nt
Filed under: plant metagenome
Description: partial contains small subunit ribosomal RNA, internal transcribed spacer 1, and 5.8S ribosomal RNA
Source: RNAcentral